This 468-nucleotide ribosomal RNA is filed under the name uncultured bacterium. RNAcentral's name for it is "partial 16S ribosomal RNA". It matches the Rfam family "Bacterial small subunit ribosomal RNA", at positions 28 to 507 of the family's 1533-position model. The record is from RNAcentral.
GACGAACGCUGGCGGCGUGCUUAACACAUGCAAGUCGAACGGAAAGGCCCUGCUUUUGUGGGGUGCUCGAGUGGCGAACGGGUGAGUAACACGUGAGUAACCUGCCCUUGACUUUGGGAUAACUUCAGGAAACUGGGGCUAAUACCGGAUAGGAGCUCCUGCUGCAUGGUGGGGGUUGGAAAGUUUCUGCGGUUGGGGAUGGACUCGCGGCUUAUCAGCUUGUUGGUGGGGUAGUGGCUUACCAAGGCUUUGACGGGUCGCCGGCCUGAGAGGGUGACCGGCCACAUUGGGACUGAGAUACGGACCAGACUCCUACGGGAGGCAGCGGUGGGGAAUAUUGCACAAUGGGCGGAAGCCUGAUGCAGCAACGUCGCGGGCGGGAUGACGGCCUUCGGGUUGUAAACCGCUUUCGCCUGUGACGAAGCGUGAGUGACGGUAAUGGGUAAAGAAGCACCGGCUAACUACGUG